CAGCCGCCGCGGGAAUACAGAGGGUGCGAGCGUUAAUCGGAUUUACUGGGCGUAAAGCGUGCGUAGGCGGCUUUUUAAGUCGGAUGUGAAAUCCCUGAGCUUAACUUAGGAAUUGCAUUCGAUACUGGGAAGCUAGAGUAUGGGAGAGGAUGGUAGAAUUCCAGGUGUACCGGUGAAAUGCGUAGAGAUCUGGAGGAAUACCGAUGGCGAAGGCAGCCAUCUGGCCUAAUACUGACGCUGAGGUACGAAAGCAUGGGGAGCAAACAGGAUUAGAUACCCGCGUAGUCCCUGUCUCUUAUAC
RNAcentral lists this ribosomal RNA (301 nucleotides) under uncultured bacterium. Its description in RNAcentral is "partial 16S ribosomal RNA". It matches the Rfam family "Bacterial small subunit ribosomal RNA", at positions 509 to 807 of the family's 1533-position model. The record is from RNAcentral.